CUGAAGUUUAUAACAAGGCUAUCCUACAGGCUAAUGGCAAAAGAAGCUAUGAUCAGACAUUGUAGCAGAAUGUAAGCCGACAGUAUUCAGCUUUUUUGCAGAUUGGUGCUUACUUUUCAACUGACCACCUCUCCAUUUGUCCUUUUUCUCACCAAAAAACCUGGAAAUGUGAAAGAUGCAGUUUCUUUAACUCUUGAGCAUCUAAAGAAAGAGAGAUCAAGAUCAAUUCUUCUCCAAACCAACAAAAGGAGUAGUAUCCUCCUUAUCAGAAAAGUAUUUUCUUAAUCACUGGUUUUUAAAGUCUUACUUAAACACUGAUGCCAGAAGGUUUUUUUUUUUUCUUUCCAAAAUUCUCUCGUUUUAAGUCUGAAUCUCAUACUGUUGAAUUCAUAGGAAAUCCAUUUGAUUCAAUUGGUGCAGAGUCAAACACUUAAUCCUUACUAUUACACAUUUGUAUAUUCUUACUAUCUGUGUAAAUGCUAAAUCUUGUUUUCAGCCUUGCUAAACUCUUAGCCUCAGUGAUACCUCAAGGCAAUGAGUUCCCAAAACUACUCACAUGAAGAAUGUACUUCCUUUUAGCAAUCAUAAUGUUAGUGUAUAUCAGUUUCCCCAAAUGUCUUAUGUAGGUGAAGGGACUCUGAUUUAAUUUUCCUCCGCACCUCACUAAUCUGCCUGCCUCUAUGUUCAGUCCUAUUUGUUCUCUUCUUUAUAUAAACAAUUCAACUCUUUCCAGUCAUAUGGAGGCAGAAUUUUGAGUGUCUUUUCUUUCUACUGAAAGGAAUGCUGAGAGAG
This is a long non-coding RNA of Gallus gallus (chicken), 792 nucleotides long. RefSeq lists it as uncharacterized. Lineage: Eukaryota; Metazoa; Chordata; Aves; Galliformes; Phasianidae. The transcript is spliced from 3 exons. The record is from RefSeq and is a predicted model, not a curated record.